RNAcentral lists this ribosomal RNA (327 nucleotides) under uncultured prokaryote. RNAcentral describes it as "bacterial SSU rRNA". It matches the Rfam family "Bacterial small subunit ribosomal RNA", at positions 119 to 511 of the family's 1533-position model. The record is from RNAcentral.
AGGAAUCUACACUUAAGUAAGGGAUAACUUCGCGAAAGCGAGGCUAAUAUCUUAUGUGGAGGUAACUCUAAAGAUUUAUCGCUUAAGAAUGAGCCUGCGGCCUAUCAGGUAGUUGGUGGGGUAAAAGCCUACCAAGCCUAUGACGGGUAGAUGGUGUUAGCGCAUGACCAUCCAGAAGGGUAUUGAGAUACGGACCCUACUCCUACGGGAGGCAGCAAUCGGGAAUUUUGCGCAAUGGGCGAAAGCCUGACGCAGCGACGCCGCGUGAAGGAUGGAAGCCUUCGGGUUGUAAACUUCUGAAAAUAGCACCGGCUAACUACGUGCCAG